Molecule: long non-coding RNA, 5465 nt
Organism: Nyctereutes procyonoides (raccoon dog)
Lineage: Eukaryota; Metazoa; Chordata; Mammalia; Carnivora; Canidae
Exons: 3
Source: RefSeq, a predicted model, not a curated record
CGGCCCGGCCCGGCGCUGGCGGAGAAGGGCGGCCCCGCGCGCCGGGAGGGAGCUUUUAAAGCGACACACACGCCGCCCAGCGCCGAGCGCGCCCGCCGGGGGCUCGGCUCCGAGUGACGCUGCGGGCCCCGCGCCCCGGGCCGGAGGCGCCCUCGCCGGGAGCGACCCCGCGGGACCCCGGCCCCCCCCCCCCGCCCCGUGACCCCGCCCCCCCCGCGGGGCGCCCGAGCGCCUCUUUGGCCUGAGCCUUCCGCACCCAGACCUUUCCCUCUGCCCCUUCCCACACCCCAACCCACCCCAGGCCUCGCCUGGAAGCAGAGAAUUUCAGGAAUCUCAGAAAUCUCAGAACACUGACAGGCUUUCCUGAGCACCUACUGCGCGCCGAGCUCUGCGCAAGGCCCCGCGGGGAGCUGGAGGCCCUGGCGACAGGAAGACUCGAGUCCUCUGAGCAGACUCCAGACUGGAGCAGGAAUUCCCAGUGUCUCCCCAGAGCGUUACUCUCAAGACCACGUUCCAAGGUGCUGAGCACGUGGAUGGGUGAUCCUGGGGGCAGGGGGUGCGUCCAGACCAUGCCUGCAACAUGCGGGCCCUUUGGGGUCUGUGGCGGGAGGGGGGGUCAUACUUUUUAACUCAGAUAAUUUAGUCCCUGACUCUCUGGUGUAUUCCCCAUGUGUGGCUCUCAAAACUUAACUUUUCUCUUUAAUGUUUAUUUUAGAAAAUCAGGAACAUACAAAUAAACAGAACUAAAAAAUAUGUAUACGUCCCGCCAGAAACAACCCAAAGUGGUUGAAUGAAUGGAAAGCUGUUCAUUCAGGAACUCUCAUCGCUUGGAAGACUUGUCUCCACAUUGGCUGUGGAAGAGGAGGGGAGAUGGCCCAUGCUGUAGCUGUGCAAGCAAGGGCCGGGGACCGCAGCUCCCGUAGGAUCCACCCCCACACUGCCCCAGAGUGUUCCCAGCCUCCGUGUCCGUCUCAGCCUCUCCUCCAGGCCAACCUCCCUGCCUCCCUCCCUCCUAUUUCUCUGAUCCUGGUGCCUCUCUCUGCAUCCUGCUCAGGAGCCAAAUGACUUCUUUUUCUUAUCUCAUGCUGAAUGGUUUGCAACCAUCAUCUCACGAAACAGUUGACCGAGGUUUUUUUUUUUUUUUUUUCUAAACAAAGACAGUUUCCCAUCUGAGAACAAUUUCUGGUGCCAACUGUGAAGAUAAACUAUCUUUACCUUGUUUUAUGAACACAUAUUUUUUAGAAAGAGAGGGUUAUUCUAUAAAUGCUGAUAUCAAACCUGCUUUUGUUCAUUAACAAUGUAGCAUCUGCAUAUUUGUAUGCCCGUCGAGAAAUCUAUAUGUGCUGUUUUAAUGGCUGCAUAUUAGUCCAUGUGAUUUUUAAAAAUUUUUAUUUAUUUAUUCAUGGUAGACAGAGAGAAAGAGACAGGCAGAGGGAGAAGCAGGCUUCAUGCCGGGAGCCCGACGCAGGACCCGAUUCGGGACUCCAGGAUCAUGCCCUGGGCCAAAGGCAGGCGCUAAACUGCUGAGCCACCCAGGGAUCCCAAUCCAUGUGAUUUUUUUUUUUUUUUUUUUAGUCCAUGUGUUUUUUUUAAAUCUCUCUCUCUCUCUCUCUCUUUUGCUAUGCACUUAGGCUGUUUCUAGUUUUUGCUAUUAUAACAGCACACAUCAUCCUUGCACAUUAUUUCCUUAGGUUCUUAAAAGUAAAAUUUCUGAGAAGGCACUUUCCAAAGGCUAUUGUCAUAUCAUUGAACUACUCUUUUUUUCUUUUUUAAUUGAACUUCUCUUCAGAAAGUUCAUGCUGAUUUGUAUUCUCGGCAGCAGCUUGUGUUAUUGCCCCCUUACUAUUCGUUCUAGCUUUGUCUCAGUUAUGCUCCAAGGUGCCACAGGAGGACCCCCGUGGCCGCUUUGGUGACACACGGCAACCAGUGAGUGACUCCUUGAAGGAUGAAGAGACUCGGGAACAAGAAUGGGGGCCAUGUGACCCACCUGCCCCUCCUAUAUAUCCUUUGAUGGCCUCCGUGGAGGGAUUUGAAAUUGAUUGAUUGAUUGAACUAUUGAUUUUAUGAAGGAAAAUACUAUGUCCCUUCCAGUGAUGGUGAUGGUCACCAGUGCAGUGUAGUGAUGGUAAUGAUGGGGGCCAUGCGGUGAGUGGCAGGUAAGGGUGGAGGUGAUGGGGAGUGCAGCGUUGUCAUGGAGCCGGUGGGGGUGGCACCGCCCACAGGAAGGCCCAUCACAGUGGUGGCAGUGGGGACCGCGGUGGCAGGGAGGUGAGCCCAAUGGUGAUGGAGGCCGUGAGGCCAUGAGGGCAGCAGUAGCGGAGAAUUGGAGGUGUCCCUGUGGUGGUGCAGGCUGCUGUGGAAAAGUGCAGACGGAGGUGGUGUAAGUGACAGUUAGAGUAUGCUACAGGAUUACACAGAUAUACCACCGGGGAAGAGGUUAUCUCAGACCUGGGGAACAGUGUGAACAAAAGAAGCAGCGUGAGACUAGUGCCAAGAAAAGUGAGGAGAUCCACUGGCCAGCAGGGUGGUCAAGGAGAAAUUUCAUGGUGGUUGGUGCUGGGGAGUGUCUGGAAAGGGGCAAGAGAAAUUUGGACUCCAGGAGGGCAGUGGAGAGACAUUUUGGAUCCUGGGGUGAAGGUGGACCGGAGACGAGUUCCCUGUAGGACAAAGGAGGAGAAUCUGAGGAGCUGAGCAGUCAGCCACACUGCUGAACUCGAAGGGGAGCAGCAGGUGGACUAGACCCUCCAGGGUGCCUGUGAGCAUCCAGGGGCCGCCAGCAGCUCGCAGGAAAAGGGGGAAGGGUCCACGGCACUGGGUCCGACCCACAGGGGGAAGGGCCCCUGACCCUGGCCACUCCUGUGCCAGCCCCAACCAGCAAACCCCACUCUCACCUUUGAUGGAGCGGGAGAAAGGUCUAGACCAGUGGUUCCGGCCGCCCCCACCUCUCCCGCAGCAGCUCCCAGCACCCACCGUGAGUCUUAUAGACAUUUACUCGGUAGCGCUGCCUGGGAAGAGGCCCUCUCCUGCUUCCCUGGAUGUAGCACGAAGCCUGCUUUGACGUGUGCACAAAGCUGCAGGAUUCUUUCUUUCAGGGCAAGGACACCUGGAAAAUCUCAGGGAGGCAGAACGCUGGUAUCUGAGCAGCCGCAUCCUGAGGAUGAGGGGUUACUCCCUCCCUGGGGCUGGGGCUGGUCUCCUCUCCCGCGGCCUGCUGUCCUCCUCACUCCUACACAGAAGCCCCUGGAGCCGGUGGGUGAUCUCUAGGCGAGAACGCGAAACAUACUUUUUCUCCCAUUUUAACGAUCUCAGUGACCUCACAAGGUUUCCAUGGUGACAAGACCAAGGAGUCAGGGGGGCCUUGGUGAAUUAGGCCAAACACACCCACCCCCCAGGACCUUCUUCCUGGUGCUGGGCUUCGGGAGUGGACUCUAGAUCAUCAGCCAGCAGCAGAGGGAAGGUCAUUCUAGGCACCAGGGCAGAUGAGGCGACUGAGGGAGGUGGAAAGGGCACAGCGAAGGGGCUGCGAGGAGAUUAGCACCUGGUGAGGAAUUGGGGGCUUGCCAUCUGAAGCUUGGCUUUGCAGGGAGCAGCCAGGGCCCAGGGCCCAAGGACACAGGCUGUGGAGUCCAAGUGACCCAGGUGUGAGUGACACCCACGUCCAAUGGCUGCGCAUCUCCCGAACGUUGCAGUCAAGGCACCUAGCGAGUACUUGAUACAUUCCUGUUUUCUCCCUCCUGCCCUUUCCAUCGUCUGCACCACUGGGCCACCGCAGCUUCCUGAGUGGUUUGAAGUGCCACAUUGCCCCCCACCCCGAAUUUCUUGCCUUCAGGCACUGAAUAAUUCAAUCUUUACAUAGCACAGCGAUUGAAAUGCCCCAUCCGUGGUCCUACUGCUGGAAAUUCCACCACAGAAGCCCCACGGCUUUGCACCCAACCUCCCUGUAAAUGGCACCCUCUUACCUGGGAGGUGAUUCGUCCCAUCUUUGGUCCCUGGACAGGGGCAGUAGUGCUGGGGGAUGGGGACAGCAGGUUUUUUCUUUUUUUUCUUUUCUUUUCUUUCUUUUCUUUUCUUUCUUUCUUUCUUUCUUUCUUUUCUUUCUUUCUUUCUUUUUUAGUGCAGAUGGAGCCUGUGAGUGAGGGCGAAAGAGAAAGAGAAAGCAAACGAGAGAGUUUGCUCCCCUGAAAUCUUGGCCAGCGGUCAUGGCUUUGGCUGCGGAAUUUCUCUGAGGGAGAGUGAUGGAAAGCCCAGAGAUUACCGAGCAUCUGAGAGGAGUCAGACAUGGACAUCGUGCCACACUUUGCACCGUGGAAAACGGCAGAGAAAUCUAUAAGCUUGGCUUUCGGAGAAUAGGUCCCGGAGGUUCUCUGGGGAAGUCAGCUUUUAUGAAGCCUGAAGAACGAUUUGUAAUCAGCCCAUCAAAUAUUCAGAAAGACUUUUUCACCUAGAAUCUCACUUGCUGGGAGUCUGUGGCCUGUAGUGGCUAUGGAUUCUCCGUCAGCAUCUGCAGUCCUCUACCCCAUGUCCGAGGCAGCCUGGAUCUCCCAGUGGGCAAAUCCCACCUCUCAAUGGCUCCAGGCCCACCGCAUCCUUGGGAGGCAUCUGGGUCUCACUGUCCUGAGCUGCUGUCUUCUGGGACGACCGGGAAUCGGGCCCACUGGCCUGGGUCUUCUGCUAACAGGGCAGCUUCCAGCCCAAGCCUAACAGUUGCCAAUCCUGGGAGCUCUACGAGACACCCUCCUCCUCCUCCUGUCUCUGCUCUCUCCAGCUCCAUCCUGUGUCCCAUCCCCCCCACCACCACCCAAGGCCUGGAUCUUAUUCUUGAACUUCGAGUGCCCUUGGGCUGCUUCUUCACUCCAUUUGCUCAGGAUGUGCAGAAUCACUGAAGAGAAUUCAUGUUGGGUGUAGGGGAAUAGGUGAAGGGAAUGAAGAGUACACUUGUCUGGGUGAGCACUGAGUAAUAUAUGAAAGUGUUGAACUGCUACAUUGUACGCCUGAAACAACUAUACCACUGUCCGUUACCUACACUGGAAUUAAAAAAAAAAUCACAUUGGGGAUUUUUUCUUUUCUCUUUUACAUUUCCUAACUGGAUUUUGCUAGUAUAUUUCUUGAUACCCGCCAUCUUGCUGACCUCCUCCAUAGUCUCUUUCUUGUUUUUCAGUUUAUUCUCUGGAGUGUUCUGGAUAAACAAUCAUAUCAUGAACAAAUAACGAUAGCGAUUUCUCCUUCUUCCUGAAUGUUAUGCUUCUUUUUAUUUGCAUUUUUAAUGUACUAUUGCAUUAGCUAGAACUUCCAGAACAAUGCAGACUAAUUGUGGUAAUAGCAGGCAAUCCCAUCCCACUCUGCCUUAAAUAUGAGCACCUCUCUGCGUUUUUAUCGCCAAGAAUGUUGUUGUUGACUGUUGGUCGCGGACAGGUUUUUUUUUUUUUUUAUGAUGUUGAGAAAAUGUUCUUUUAUUUUUAUUUCAC